AUACAGAGGGUGCGAGCGUUAAUCGGAAUUACUGGGCGUAAAGCGCGCGUAGGCGGCUGAUUAAGUCGGAUGUGAAAUCCCUGGGCUCAACCUAGGAACUGCAUCCGAUACUGGUCAGCUAGAGUUUUGGAGAGGUAAGUGGAAUUUCCGGUGUAGCGGUGAAAUGCAUAGAGAUCGGAAGGAACACCAGUGGCGAAGGCGACUUACUGGCCAAAAACUGACGCUGAGGUGCGAAAGCGUGGGUAGCGAACAGGAUUAGAAACCCUAGUAGUCC
RNAcentral lists this ribosomal RNA (274 nucleotides) under uncultured bacterium. RNAcentral describes it as "partial 16S ribosomal RNA". It matches the Rfam family "Bacterial small subunit ribosomal RNA", at positions 523 to 796 of the family's 1533-position model. The record is from RNAcentral.